This 2165-nucleotide long non-coding RNA is filed under the name Anas platyrhynchos platyrhynchos (common mallard). Its description in RNAcentral is "lncRNA (ENSAPLG00000016585.1)". The record is from RNAcentral. Lineage: Eukaryota; Metazoa; Chordata; Aves; Anseriformes; Anatidae.
UGACAGGGCCACAGCCAAGCCCAUCUUGGUGCUGCUGCCCGUGCUGGGGCUGACGUGGGUGUGUGGGGUCCUUGUCCACCUCAGCAUUGUCUGGGCCUAUGUCUUCAUCGUGCUCAACUCCCUCCAGGGCCUGUAUAUAUUCCUGGUCUAUGCAAUCUAUAACAGCGAGGUAAGAGAUAUCCCUGGCUGGGGCUCUGUCACUACAGAGCAAGUGUUUAGUAGGGGUUAAGGGAUGGCUGGGACUGUAGUCAAUGAAACAGGCAGCGUAGCCCAGACUGUGCUUCUGGGACAGCUAUUGCUUUUUCUCCAUGACUUCCUGGAGGAUCUCUUGCUCUGCAAGAGUUGCUGUGGCCUUCUCUAAUGUCCUUGCCUUGCUCCAGGUGAGGAAUGCCAUCCAGAGGAUGAAGGACAAGAAGAAAGCACUCUCAUUCACAAACUGCUCUCAUCCCAUCAACUACUUAUCAAGUCCAAGAAACACAACCUCCUGGGAGACCGGGAAACUGAGUCCUGCAGCUGAGAGUGCCUUGUCGAGCCCUGUGCAGAAAGAUCCACCAGUGAAGAACAUCACCAACAAAGGUAAAGAGGGUUGUCACUGCUGUUGGCCCAGGCUGUGGGAUGAGACCACAGUAAAACAUUCCCAAGGCGUGAAAGAGGCAGUAGGAAAUAGUUUUUUUAGCUUCUGGGAAGAAAGGUAUUGCAAGCUCCAACCUGUUUGUGGGUAAAAAGAUUUACUUGCAAUUACGCAGAUAACCUGGUUGGUCCCUUUGCUUCAGUGGAAGAUAUUUAGGGGACAUAAAGCACUGAGUUCUUGGUAAAGCUUGAAUAUUUCUGCUCUCUGGUCUCCAAACUCAUUGUGCUUUUUCCCCCCCUAGGCAACUUUGGAGCCAAAAUUCCCAUGGGGAUUUCAUCAAUUAUGUCACCAGAGAGACCGGUAUGUAAUGUCUUCUGAUAUUCUACCACCUUCACUCAUAUACAGAGCAUAGCAGUUAUGUGGGAAUGGUAUAUAGCGGUUCUAGCGAAGGGCUGGGCCUCGGAACACCUGGUGGUGUUACCAGCUCUGGCACAAAUUCAGUGGUUUACGCUGAGCAAGUCUCAGAAGCUGUCUGACUCAUCCAUCCUGUUUGCAGACCGAGGAUAACGAUGAUUCCCUCUGUCCCAGGAUGUUACAACACUUGCCAAAUGUUUGUAAUGGACCAGAGACAGUGUGUUAUCGCAGCGUAGAUGCCCUGUUCCCGAGGACCAAUCUAGACACGUGGUCUGUCUGGACUGAAACAAAAAAAAAAAAAGGUCUUGAUACGAACCCUGGACACACUCACUUAUUAAAAUAUGUACUGGUUAUUAGUAGCAUAUUCAUUUAAGUCAUUUAAAUAACUUAAGAUAUGUGACUUCAUGCCCAUAACUGCCACUUCUAGCAAUCAAGCCAUAGGAUGAUGCUGAGCAUAGGAUGCUGUUCAGGGGGAGGAGAGGUGGCUGGCUGGCAGGGAGGCUCUCCUGGCUGGGGACCGCCUUGGCUCUUCAGUGACCAUGGGGGCUUGGCUCGGGAGGCUGUUCCCUGACCUUUUGGGCUGGUCUGGGGCAGGGCAGGCAGCUGAGGGCAAUGCAGGAGAGCAGGAGAGUGCUGGCAAGGGGGCAGGCAGGGAGGAACCCCCUGGUGCAGCCACUUCCCAAGCAGAGAGCUCACCCCUGGCUGCAGGAACCAGCGCUGCCGCAGCUUUAUUCCCGGCCGCACCCAGGGCUUGCAGCUCCUCUCCAGGAGGGGGGCGCAGCUGGGGGCUGAUUUACGGCAGGGGAUAUCAAUGAACAGAAGGAGCUCGUGAAUUUGAGUACAUGAAGCACAGAGCAGCAGUCGGUACAGCUCAUGGCAAGAGAUUCCCCCCAGGGCCAGCAAGUUUAAAAAGGGCAGCGGGGGCUUGUUGGCUGUGCAGCAGCUGAGCCGCAUCCAUCCAGGGAGGGCAGCCCUGUAUUGUUCUGCAGCCAUUUCGCUCCCCCAGCAGAAGUGAGUCUGACGUAGAGCUCAGCAAGGCAUGGCCUAAAGUGGAGAACAAUUUAAAUUUGACUACUCUGAUACCACUUCCAUCUCCCACUAUUGAAAUGAUCAUCAGUCCUUGUGCACUUGACAUACAAGUGCUGUAAUUUCCUCAGAAUAAAAUCCAACACUACUUUCA